This 370-nucleotide long non-coding RNA is filed under the name Capsicum annuum. Its description in RNAcentral is "long non-coding RNA (CANN_LNC022258)". Lineage: Eukaryota; Viridiplantae; Streptophyta; Magnoliopsida; Solanales; Solanaceae. The record is from RNAcentral.
UUUUGUCCUCCUAAAAUCUCCCUUGAUCACUUAAUUACAACCCAAAAUCCAAGAGCUUUCCAUGUUGAUAUACCUUUAAUUCCAUGAAGAGUUUCUCACCUGGAAAUCUUGUAACUUCCCACUGUCACUCACAGGAGAGCUUCUGGAAAGCACGCGGGAAGACAAUGAAGCUCAGUUCAUGAGAUUGCAGCAUAGUGAAACAAAUCAGUCGCGACAUAAAAUUACGUAUCUUAUCUAGAUCUCGUUGGUAUCUUUUGUGAACCAAGUCAACUUUGUAAGGGACUAUGGGUUAGAAGUGGUGAAUUGGGCUGAUCCAGCUGAGAUUAUUGGACCUAUUGAGAUGUUGGAGUGUUUUAUUUGGGAUCCAGGC